GGUGAAACCGCAAAAGGCUCAUUAAAUCAGUUAUGGUUCCUUGGAUCUUAAACAGUUACUUGGAUAACUGUGGUAAUUCUAGAGCUAAUACAUGCAAACAAGUCCCGACCAGAGAUGGAAGGGACGCUUUUAUUAGAUCAAAACCGAUCGGCGUCCGGCUCCGGCCGGCGCCGUCUCUUUUGGUGACUCUGGAUAACUUUUAGCUGAUCGCACGGUCACAGUACCGGCGACGCAUCUUUCAAAUGUCUGACUUAUCAACUGUCGAUGGUAGGCUCUGCGCCUACCAUGGUUGUAACGGGUAACGGGGAAUCAGGGUUCGAUUCCGGAGAGGGAGCCUGAGAAACGGCUACCACAUCCAAGGAAGGCAGCAGGCGCGCAAAUUACCCACUCCCGGCACGGGGAGGUAGUGACGAAAAAUAACGAUACGGGACUCAUCCGAGGCCCCGUAAUCGGAAUGAGUACACUUUAAAUACUUUAACGAGUACCAAUUGGAGGGCAAGUCUGGUGCCAGCAGCCGCGGUAAUUCCAGCUCCAAUAGCGUAUAUUAAAGUUGUUGCGGUUAAAAAGCUCGUAGUUGGAUCUGUGUGCCACGCUGUCGGUUCACCGCCCGUCGGUGUAAACUGGCAUGUCUGUGGGACGUCCUGCCGGUGGCGGUACGGGCUGUCGGCGCUGCGUAGGGGUUCGCCCCCGAAGCACGUCGGCGUGUCCCGGUCCGCCGAUUCAAUCCCGCCGCGGUGCUCUUCACUGAGUGUCGAGGUGGGCCGGCACGUUUACUUUGAACAAAUUAGAGUGCUCAAAUCAGGUCGUA
Molecule: ribosomal RNA, 808 nt
Filed under: Magicicada cassinii (seventeen-year cicada)
Lineage: Eukaryota; Metazoa; Arthropoda; Insecta; Hemiptera; Cicadidae
Also listed under: 1 other name
Description: SSU rRNA
Rfam family: Eukaryotic small subunit ribosomal RNA
Source: RNAcentral